CGGCCCGCCGCGCGGCCGCCUGAGCUGCGAGCUGAGGAGGCCCCUUGGCUUUUCCCGCAAAGGGCGGGGGGCGCAUUUUCUCUCCUGCCAGCCCGCUCCAUCCUGGUCGUUUAUUCCCGGCCUCCCUUCACCCCCAACCCCCACAGCCUGCUGUAUGUAAAUAGGCAAAUAGAUCUACACGGACACAAUAAUUUAGCUUGUUUGGUCUUUGGCAUUUUCUACAAGACCCCAAGAGAUGGACUUUCCUCUCCCCUUCCUCCUUUUAGAACUGGCAUCCUUCAUCUCUGUCUAUGCAGGCCCAAUUAUACAGAUCCUCGGGGCUCCAAUAGGGUCUGAGUCAUUGAAACCAGGAACACCUGGCUGAAACAUUCCACAUAAUUAGAUUUUCUUUUUCUUUACCUUUUCUUUCUUUCUUUUUUUUAAAUAAGAGGUCUAGAAUUAGCCUUUUCGACUGGGGCGGAGUAGCUGGGGUGGGGGAAAGGAACACCUUCAUACAACUUCCAGCUUUCAGUCCCUUGGAGAGAUCUCCAAGUUCCCCCGAGCCGCCGGGACUUCCUUUCCUCGAUCUCUCGGCCGCCUCCUCCUCCUUCUCCGAUCGUGGUUUUUUUUUCCCCUCCCCUCACUGUCUUCUCUGCGGUUUAAUUAAAGUUCAGCGACUCCACUUGCCUCUCCUCUCAUUUCUUUCGGAAAGCGGAAACCUGACGACCCAGCGGCCACGGGCCGAGCCGCCCCAACUCAACCCCAGCAGGACGCUGGAGGGGCCUCCCUCGCCUGCCUCCCUUCGCCGGCGCUGGCCUCCCGCACCCGGGUCUGCAGUCCCUCCGCCAUCUCGCAGGAGCCCAGAGAUGCCCGGGAGGACGGGGCCCCGGACGGAAGCAGAAAAACACUUAUGGCCGCCGGAGAGUGGGGAGAGCCAGGCUAGGGCUCCGGCAGGCCCAGGUCCCUUUCUAGGCUCUUUAUUUAAAAAUGUAAAAGGAGGAGUUGAGGCGCCUUGAAUUUUCCUUCGCGAGCUUGGAGACUAGCCGAUUUUUCAUGAAGGAAGCAAAGACUUCGGUCCCGGAUCCUGCAACAUCCACCUCAUUCUCUCCAGGCCUCUCCACUUGCCCGAGCUCUCAGCCACCAGGAGACUGACGGAAGGGGCUUCUGGGCUGCGUUGGGAGCGGGCACUGUCCCCCACCCGCUCCUGUUCUGUUUCCCAAAGUCCAGCGACCUCCGACUCUCCUUGGGGGGAAAAAUACCAGUACCCAGAUACCUCUGCACCCUGUUAUAUGACUGGGCUUGCUUCAGGAAUAUCUUACAAAGAAGAAGAAGAAGAAAGAACGGCUUGGAGUCAUGUUUACAUCUAGUUCUACUGAUCCGUUCACAUCUGGAGAGUUUAUUUAUAACUCCCUCCAUAACUCUCUGUUUGGAGGCACUGGUGGCUCUAUUGACAGACUGAUGUCUAGGAAAUAUUGCUCUAUGUCUAACCGUACCUAAAUGUGCUGUGGUUGUAUUUACAGAUUUAUGUUUGAGGGAAAUAUAAUUAUUUCCAUUGUAUUUGUGCAUAUACAGUAGUUAUAAGAGCAGAUUUAUAUAUGGGGAAAUAUACGACUCUCUUACAGCCAUCCAGCUUUAUGUACAUUUGAUAUCCUGACAGAUUUAUAUCUCUGAACAGCUAUAUAGAUAAAAAUAUAUAUUGUUAGAAUUAUGUAUCAGGAGAUAUAUACUUAUUGAUUGUGAAAUAGAGUAGUUAGAGCAUUCACUUAGAGCCAUAUAUGGCUAUGGAGACAUUUCUAUAUUAUUAUCGCUAUAUAUAGGCAUAUCUGUUUAUAACUACAUAGUUAUAAAAAUAGACAUAAAUAAUUAUAGUCCUAUAUGUGCAUGCUGCAAUCUCUCUCUAGAGUUAUAGACACUCUCAAAUAUAACUCUAUAGAGAGAUCUGUAUGUAUAUAAGGUGUAAUUAUCUUGUGAUGUGUGUACGUUAGGACUUAGGCCCGUCUAUCUGAGAACAGACAUAUUUAUAUGUAGGAGCUGGGAAAGACUUGUUCACAGAUAUCUGCAGAGGGUCAACUGGAAACGCUGUAUCUGCCCUCUAGGAAACCAGCUAGCAGAGUUGUGUACUUAUGGAGGGAUGGAGUUACAAAAGGGUAAAUAGAGCUCAGGGAGCCUCAAGGAGGGAGGUGAAUGGAGGGUGGGUGGGCUCCGUUUGAACAGAUAGCGGGAGGAAAGGGGUAAACACCAGUACCCACCAGAAGGUGAGAACCGGUUUUGUGAGGGGCUGGCGCAGAAGGUGGACAAGGAGCUUGUAAAACGGGAAGCAGCGAACAGUCCUGCCAUCUCACCCUGAGACACUCCACCGAGGAAGCAGCCUUCAGUUUGGCUUUUAGUGCACUGAAAGAUAGGGACUGUCGUGUCCCUCCUGCAGUCCUAGCGCGUUUCUGUUGAACCCUAAUUUUUAGACCUCAAAGAGUGGGCUUCAGAGAUAAAGAGGUUUAGGCAGGGACAGGGCGGGGAGCGUGGGGUGUACUUUCACUUUCUGAUAAGUGAGGUAAUCCAGGAAAGUGAGUUAAUUUGGCCAAAAUAAAGCUUGUUUUUA
Chlorocebus sabaeus (green monkey) is the source of this 2575-nucleotide long non-coding RNA. RefSeq lists it as uncharacterized. The record is from RefSeq and is a predicted model, not a curated record. Lineage: Eukaryota; Metazoa; Chordata; Mammalia; Primates; Cercopithecidae.